GAUAAGAAAGCUGUCUCUCUUUACUGAACUCUGAAGUUAGCUGGAUAGUGAAGAGACUCUCUUAGCAAAGCGGGACGAGAAGACCCCGUUGAGCUUUAGUAAAAAUUGUUUAUUAAAAACUUGAUUACUUGAGUUGGGGCAACUAUCUUUCUUUUUUAAAACAAAGAUAAAAACGUUUUGAGUUAAUUCUUUUAUGACCCUUAAUCUUAGGAAUUAUAGAAAAAGUUACCACGGGGAUAACAGCGUAAUUUUUUUUGAGAGUUCUUAUUGACAAAAAAGUUUGCGACCUCGAUGUUGGAUCAUAGUUUCCGGGGGGUGCA
This 320-nucleotide ribosomal RNA is filed under the name Ophiothrix quinquemaculata. Its description in RNAcentral is "partial 16S ribosomal RNA". It matches the Rfam family "Bacterial large subunit ribosomal RNA", at positions 2006 to 2557 of the family's 2925-position model. Lineage: Eukaryota; Metazoa; Echinodermata; Ophiuroidea; Amphilepidida; Ophiotrichidae. The record is from RNAcentral.